Heterocephalus glaber (naked mole-rat) is the source of this 80-nucleotide small nuclear RNA. Its record names the gene U2. It matches the Rfam family "U2 spliceosomal RNA". From Rfam's summary of the family: U2 is a small nuclear RNA (snRNA) component of the spliceosome (involved in pre-mRNA splicing). The record is from Ensembl. Lineage: Eukaryota; Metazoa; Chordata; Mammalia; Rodentia; Bathyergidae.
AUUGCUUCUCUGCCUUUUGGCUAAGAUCAAGUGUAGUAACAAUAAACUCAUGAAUCCAUUGUUUUGAUCAACAACUCUAC